GAUGAACGCUGGCGGCGUGCCUAACACAUGCAAGUCGAGCGAACGGACGAGAAGCUUGCUUUUCUGAUGUUAGCGGCGGACGGGUGAGUAACAAGUGGAUAACCUCCCUAUAAUACUGGGCUAACUUCGGGACACCGGAGCUAAUACCGGAUAAUAUUUUGAACCGCAUGGUUCAAAAGUGAAAGACGUUCUUGCUGUCACUUAUAGAUGGAUCCGCGCUGCAUUAGCUAGUUGGUAAGGUAACGGCUUACCAAGGCAACGAUGCAUAGCCGACCUGAGAGGGUGAUCGGCCACACUGGAACUGAGACACGGUCCAGACUCCUACGGGAGGCAGCAGAAGGGAAUCUUCCGCAGUGGGCGAAAGCCUGACGGAGCAACGCCGCGUGAGUGAUGAAGGUCUUCGGAGCGUAAAACUCUGUUAUUAGGGAAGAACAUAUGUGUAAGUAACUGUGCACAACGUGACGGUACCUGAUCAGAAAGCCACGGCUAACUACGUG
RNAcentral lists this ribosomal RNA (497 nucleotides) under uncultured bacterium. RNAcentral's name for it is "partial 16S ribosomal RNA". It matches the Rfam family "Bacterial small subunit ribosomal RNA", at positions 28 to 507 of the family's 1533-position model. The record is from RNAcentral.